ACACUACUGUUGGCACAAAAUCGCUUGCAAGAGUUGUUGAGGAAAAGAAAAGGAAAGAAGAUGUCGAGCUUUCAGAGAUAGACAUGUUUGAGUUAAGUCGAAAGUCAAAGAAGUCAGGGGGGCUGGUAAAUGACAAAACAAAAGAGACCUUGGACAAAAUGAGGGAAUUGCAGGCUACAACUUCAAUGACUAGCAAGGAAAUAUGCGAGCAAGAACUUGGUUACAUACCUGGACACAUCCACG
Long non-coding RNA from Coffea arabica (coffee), 243 nucleotides. RefSeq lists it as uncharacterized. The record is from RefSeq and is a predicted model, not a curated record. Lineage: Eukaryota; Viridiplantae; Streptophyta; Magnoliopsida; Gentianales; Rubiaceae.